RNAcentral lists this ribosomal RNA (433 nucleotides) under uncultured bacterium. Its description in RNAcentral is "partial 16S ribosomal RNA". It matches the Rfam family "Bacterial small subunit ribosomal RNA", at positions 29 to 507 of the family's 1533-position model. The record is from RNAcentral.
AACGAACGCUGGCGGCAUGCCUAACACAUGCAAGUCGAACGAGACCUUCGGGUCUAGUGGCGCACGGGUGCGUAACGCGUGGGAACCUGCCCUUAGGUUCGGAAUAACUCCCCGAAAGGGGUGCUAAUACCGGAUAAUGUCUUCGGACCAAAGAUUUAUCGCCUUUGGAUGGGCCCGCGUUGGAUUAGCCAGUUGGUAGGGUAAAAGCCUACCAAGGCGACGAUCCAUAGCUGGUCUGAGAGGAUGAUCAGCCACACUGGGACUGAGACACGGCCCAGACUCCUACGGGAGGCAGCAGUGGGGAAUAUUGGACAAUGGGCGAAAGCCUGAUCCAGCAAUGCCGCGUGAGUGAUGAAGGCCUUAGGGUUGUAAAGCUCCUUUACCCGGGAUGAUAAUGACAGUACCGGGAGAAUAAGCUCCGGCUAACUCCGUG